UACAGAGGGCGCGAGCGUUGUCCGGAAUCACUGGGCGUAAAGGGCGCGUAGGUGGCCACUAUAAGGCCGCGGUGAAAGUUCGGGGCUCAACCCUGAAUCUGCCGCGGCGACUGUAGGGCUAGGGCACCGUAGAGGCAGAUGGAAUUCCGGGUGUAGCGGUGGAAUGCGUAGAGAUCCGGAAGAACACCGGUGGCGAAGGCGGUUAGCUGGGCAGUUGCUGACACUGAGGCGCGACAGCGUGGGGAGCAAACAGG
RNAcentral lists this ribosomal RNA (254 nucleotides) under uncultured bacterium. RNAcentral describes it as "partial 16S ribosomal RNA". It matches the Rfam family "Bacterial small subunit ribosomal RNA", at positions 524 to 776 of the family's 1533-position model. The record is from RNAcentral.